UAACGUUAUCUUGAUGUAGCCUGAGUGGCCUCUCACAGACAAUGAAUCUACGACGAGUUUGGCGUUCCCCAUCGUCACUCCAGUACGUAGGGCUAUGUGGCACGACAAAUUGUGAGACUUGUGCCCGCACAUCGUUUUUUAUUUACGUAAUAGUACAUAGAGGAAAUGUUUUAGCUGGGUUUUCUUUGCCAAUCCACUACGCAUGGUUUAUUCCGGGAAUGCGCGGUUUCCGUCCUCUCCGUGCUCUCCGUGUAAACUACUAAUGAGAUGGCGGGCGGGGGGUUUCGUUCGACCUUUUAAUAAAGCGGUCUCUGCUCAGCCGCGGAAACAGCUGGCCCUGUUCAAACUGAUGUAAUUAAUGACGACGUAGAGUACAGAUGAACAUUGCCUGGCCUUCUCCAUCCGACGCGAUGAAUUAUUGAGGCAGACGGUUCCCCGAGGCACUGCGUAACGUGAGCUAGCGGGGAGAUCUUGCCUCACUCCGCCGAGAGCGUUGAGGGGAUGUGCUAUGGAGACAGAGCGUGAAAUACCUGGAUCCCGACAGCAAAGCGGCCUACUCUGCAGUGUGCCCUUCAGCAGGAAGGGGAUCGUAGAUGAAGCGAUUGCUUUCAUCACGGGCGCGGUCGGGCCAUGUGUACCCCAGGCUUGAGCAGAGAUCACGUGUCGACGGCUGGGGCUGCUGCUGGGUGGAAAAACUCUCUCCAUCCCGCCCACCUGCGUUUCUUUCAGAUUAAUAGCCAGGCCCACCUUUCUGGAUUUAAUCAAAAUCAAAAGGCAGAACAUCUUGAGGGCAGCGAGGACUGUAGAUAAUGCUCAUAAAGAUGGAAGAAAAGGGGUCAAGGGACACAUUGUUAGAGGCAUGUUAUUUUUUUCUCCAGUCAUGCCGAAAGAUGAUUCUUGGUAGGUUUGAGUAAAUAAAUAUCUCUGUGAAUCCCCACAGUUUUUCGAUAGACAGUACAAUAAUAUACCAAUUAUUACCUCCACCGAGGAGGUUAUGCGAUGAUGUA
Molecule: long non-coding RNA, 1007 nt
Organism: Anguilla anguilla (European eel)
Lineage: Eukaryota; Metazoa; Chordata; Actinopteri; Anguilliformes; Anguillidae
Exons: 3
Source: RefSeq, a predicted model, not a curated record